CUACGGGUUGCUGCAGUGGGGAAUAUUGCACAAUGGGGGAAACCCUGAUGCAGCAACGCCGCGUGGAGGAUGACACAUUUCGGUGCGUAAACUCCUUUUAUAGGUCAAGAUAAUGACGGUAGCCUAUGAAUAAGCGCCGGCUAACUCCGUGCCAGCAGCCGCGGUAAUACGGAGGGCGCAAGCGUUACUCGGAAUCACUGGGCGUAAAGAGCAUGUAGGCGGGUUAAUAAGUCAGAAGUGAAAUCCAAUAGCUCAACUAUUGAACUGCUUUUGAAACUGUUAACCUAGAGUGUGGGAGAGGUAGAUGGAAUUUCUGGUGUAGGGGUAAAAUCCGUAGAGAUCAGAAGGAAUACCGAUUGCGAAGGCGAUCUACUGGAACAUUACUGACGCUAAGGCGUGAAAGCGUGGAGAGCAAACAGGAUUAGAUACCCUUGUAGUC
This 439-nucleotide ribosomal RNA is filed under the name uncultured bacterium. RNAcentral's name for it is "partial 16S ribosomal RNA". It matches the Rfam family "Bacterial small subunit ribosomal RNA", at positions 339 to 795 of the family's 1533-position model. The record is from RNAcentral.